AGAGUUUGAUCCUGGCUCAGGAUGAACGCUAGCGGCAGGCUUAACACAUGCAAGUCGAGGGGUAGAAGAAGCUUGCUUCUUUGAGACCGGCGCACGGGUGCGUAACGCGUAUGCAAUCUACCUUUCACAAAGGGAUAGCCCAGAGAAAUUUGGAUUAAUACCUUAUAGUAAUACGMCUUGGCAUCAAGAUGUAUUUAAAGAUUUAUCGGUGAAAGAUGAGCAUGCGUCCCAUUAGCUAGUUGGUAUGGUAACGGCAUACCAAGGCUACGAUGGGUAGGGGUCCUGAGAGGGAGAUCCCCCACACUGGUACUGAGACACGGACCAGACUCCUACGGGAGGCAGCAGUGAGGAAUAUUGGACAAUGGGCGCAAGCCUGAUCCAGCCAUGCCGCGUGCAGGAUGACGGUCCUAUGGAUUGUAAACUGCUUUUAUACAGGAAGAAACACCUCUACGUGUAGAGACUUGACGGUACUGUAAGAAUAAGGAUCGGCUAACUCCGUGCCAGCAGCCGCGGUAAUACGGAGGAUCCAAGCGUUAUCCGGAAUCAUUGGGUUUAAAGGGUCCGUAGGCGGUCAGAUAAGUCAGUGGUGAAAGCCCAUUCGCUCAACGGUGGAACGGCCAUUGAUACUGUCUGACUUGAAUUAUUAGGAAGUAACUAGAAUAUGUAGUGUAGCGGUGAAAUGCUUAGAGAUUACAUGGAAUACCAAUUGCGAAGGCAGGUUACUACUAAUAUAUUGACGCUGAUGGACGAAAGCGUGGGUAGCGAACAGGAUUAGAUACCCUGGUAGUCCACGCCGUAAACGAUGGAUACUAGCUGUUGGGCGCAAGUUCAGUGGCUAAGCGAAAGUGAUAAGUAUCCCACCUGGGGAGUACGAACGCAAGUUUGAAACUCAAAUGAAUUGACGG
This 905-nucleotide ribosomal RNA is filed under the name uncultured bacterium. Its description in RNAcentral is "bacterial SSU rRNA". It matches the Rfam family "Bacterial small subunit ribosomal RNA", at positions 8 to 916 of the family's 1533-position model. The record is from RNAcentral.